GCCUGGAUGGCUCAGUCGGUUAAGCGUCCGACUUCAGCUCAGGUCACGAUCUCGAGGUCCGUGGGUUCGAGCCCCGCGUCAGGCU
Molecule: transfer RNA, 85 nt
Filed under: Felis catus (domestic cat)
Lineage: Eukaryota; Metazoa; Chordata; Mammalia; Carnivora; Felidae
Rfam family: tRNA
About the family: Transfer RNA (tRNA) molecules are approximately 80 nucleotides in length. Their secondary structure includes four short double-helical elements and three loops (D, anti-codon, and T loops). Further hydrogen bonds mediate the characteristic L-shaped molecular structure. tRNAs have two regions of fundamental functional importance: the anti-codon, which is responsible for specific mRNA codon recognition, and the 3' end, to which the tRNAs corresponding amino acid is attached (by aminoacyl-tRNA synthetases). tRNAs cope with the degeneracy of the genetic code in two manners: having more than one tRNA (with a specific anti-codon) for a particular amino acid; and 'wobble' base-pairing, i.e. permitting non-standard base-pairing at the 3rd anti-codon position.
Source: Rfam by way of RNAcentral